RNAcentral lists this unclassified non-coding RNA (1339 nucleotides) under Hevea brasiliensis (rubber tree). Lineage: Eukaryota; Viridiplantae; Streptophyta; Magnoliopsida; Malpighiales; Euphorbiaceae. The record is from RNAcentral.
UUUAAAGUCACUCUCAUCUCCAGUGCCUGCGUUAUCCUCCGUUUCUCUGUCUACAAUCCUCUGGCCUGGCCAAACCCUCCAUGGAGUUCACAGCAGAUCAACUCAUCCAUUACAACGGCACUGACCCAUCAAAGCCCAUUUACAUAGCAAUCAAGGGUCGCGUUUUCGAUGUGACCGCCGGCAAGUCCUUUUACGGCCCAGGAGGCUCGUACGCCAUGUUCUCUGGCAAGGACGCUAGCAGAGCUCUGGCCAAGAUGAGCAAGGAAGAUGAAGAUGUCUCUCCUUCUCUGGACGGCCUCACUGAGAAGGAGAUGGGUGUCCUCAAUGACUGGGAGAAGAAGUUCGAAGCUAAGUAUCCAAUUGUUGGCCGUGUUGUCUCUUGAAUUUUCUUGAUUUCUAUUUGCUGUAUUCUGUUUCUAUUGCUAAUCUAAAAGAUCAAUUACCUGUUAUGAUUAUGCUUGAUUAUGGCUUUGCAGAGUAUGAUGAUCUGGAUGAAAACUGUCUGUGUGCUUUGUAAUCGGUGAUUGAAUAAAUUUGGGUUGUGUAAAGUUUUUUUUGUUGAAAUUUGGUUCUUUUUCCCAGCUGCUUGCAUACCUUUCUAUUCAAUCCUUUGUUCCCUGCUAUCUGCUGCUUUGCUUAUUUGCUACAGGACUGGCAGUAACUAGUAUGGGAUGGGAUAUUUCUAAUAUGUGAAGCUGUUUGAAUGAAAUUUUGUGUUUGCUUUGAAUAGGAGAGAUUUAAUUAGGUGAUCUCUUAUGGAUGUAAUUGAACCCAUUUGCCAAUUACUAUAUUGAAAUACUAUCAAUGUACAUCUGAUGUGUGAUUUUUACGGGGGUAAAUGCAUUUGUGGUUGGAAAAAGGGAGUCUCCAUUGACAAAUUGUAUUGUGAGACUUUGUUUCUUAUAACAGGCACACGCUACUGUGGUAGCAUAUUGCUAUUAUUUAAGAUCCCGCAAUGUUAUUCAUUGGCCACUUGUAUAAAUUGGGCUCUAUAAACUGGUUUAUGAUAGAUUGGAAUCUAAGUAUGAAGACAACCCUCUUACUCUUGAGAGCUUGUUCAAGUAGAUUGGUGCCAUUAAUUUCUUGGAUGAGAAAUCUGAUGCCCAUUACCGACUGUCUGCUUCUGGGGUUCUCAUCUUUUCUCUGUCUCUGUGUAGCAGUCAUGGAUUAAGGAUUAAUUGGUUGGGGCUUGAGGACAUAUGCUAUUAAUAGCCUAUGGUCACCUUGCUGCUGUUUCCAGUGCUUUAUCUUGUCUAUAUGUUAUGUUUGCUUUUGAAUCGCAGAAAUAGAUCAAUGAACUUUCUUUUUAAACUGAAUCAAUGAACUAAUUUGAGUCAGG